GAACGCUGGCGGCGUGCCUAAUACAUGCAAGUCGAACGAGGUGCUUUUGUAGCAAUACGAAAGUAUCCUAGUGGCGAACGGGUGAGUAACGCGUGGGUGACCUGCCCCGAAGUGUGGGAUAACAGUCCGAAAGGAUUGCUAAUACCUCAUGUGGUUAUCGGAUUUAGAAACUGAUAACUAAAGCAGCAAUGCGCUUUGGGAGGGACCUGCGUCCCAUCAGCUAGUUGGUGAGGUAAUGGCUCACCAAGGCUACGACGGGUAGGGGACCUGAGAGGGUGGCCCCCCACAAUGGAACUGAAACACGGUCCAUACACCUACGGGUGGCAGCAGUAGGGAAUAUUGCACAAUGGGCGAAAGCCUGAUGCAGCAACGCCGCGUGUGCGAUGAAGGCCUUCGGGUCGUAAAGCACUUUUCUGAGAGAUGAGAAAGGACAGUAUCUCAGGAAUAAGUCUCGGCUAACUACGUG
This 466-nucleotide ribosomal RNA is filed under the name uncultured bacterium. Its description in RNAcentral is "bacterial SSU rRNA". It matches the Rfam family "Bacterial small subunit ribosomal RNA", at positions 31 to 507 of the family's 1533-position model. The record is from RNAcentral.